GGAUCGAUGAUGAGUCCCACAAAAAAAACAUUCCUUGGAAAAGCUGAACAAAAUGAGUGAAAACUCAUACUGGCACUGUCAUCGGAACUGAGGUCC
Callithrix jacchus (white-tufted-ear marmoset) is the source of this 96-nucleotide small nucleolar RNA. Its record names the gene SNORD116. It matches the Rfam family "Small nucleolar RNA SNORD116". Rfam says of the family: HBII-85 is a member of the C/D class of snoRNAs, which contain the C (UGAUGA) and D (CUGA) box motifs. HBII-85 is encoded in a tandemly repeated array with another C/D snoRNA, HBII-52, in the Prader-Willi syndrome (PWS) region of chromosome 15. NCBI's taxonomy places the organism in Eukaryota, Metazoa, Chordata, Mammalia, Primates, Cebidae. The record is from Ensembl.